Molecule: long non-coding RNA, 26214 nt
Organism: Bombyx mori (domestic silkworm)
Lineage: Eukaryota; Metazoa; Arthropoda; Insecta; Lepidoptera; Bombycidae
Exons: 6
Source: RefSeq, a predicted model, not a curated record
AAUGCAUACUAAUAUAAAGCAGUAAUUAUCACCAAAGUACAACAAAUCGUGAUAAAACUAGAUUUUUAUUUAAAAUUAAUUCUAGGAAUCUAGAGUGGAUGAACUGCCUUAUUGGAAUUAAAAUUAUAAAUACAGUGCAACCUAACAAUACAAUACAUAACAAAUCGGAAGGGAACAAGUGAAUACUCGUUAUAUCAAGUAAUUUGGUAAACUGAGGUUUGUUUGAUUAGGGUUAGGUUGGUCUACCAUUUGUUAUAACGAGUUGAAAAUCUUUGAAAAUUUAGUUGAAUAAAGAGGUUGUUCGCAAGAAAUCUUCGCAAUGUGAAGGUAUAUUUUACAUCAACUCUUAUGGACAAUUCAGCGGGUUAAGAAAAAUUUGUUAAAUCGAGGACAUUAUUAUAUUCAGGUCAAAUUCCAACUUUAUCAUGAUUAGCGCAAAACGUUUUAAUUGGUCAAAAGGAAAUUCAACAUAUAAAUCUGAAAAUUUUACACGCUUAAUUGGGACUCAGAGUUUCAGGUCUAAGCAGGCCUAUGCACAAAAACUGUCAAGUUAUAUGGAUGAAAAUAACAUAACAAUAAAUUAAUGAAUAAAUUAGUGAACAUAAUUGAAAACUACGAAAGAAAAAAACAGAAAUGAACCAUUUCUUAUGCAUUUUAAAAUACUAUGCACUUAAUAAGAGCUAAAGCAGUUUAAGAGUGGAAAAGACGUUGAAAAAUAUUUAAAAACAGAUGAGAGAAACAUCUAAAUUGUAAUAGGUUAAAUGCAGUUUCUAAUUGAACUAACAACAAGGUAAUUAAAAUUAAAUCUCUAUGAUUACAAUCACCAUUAUUCUGAAGAUACGGUGCCAGAAUUUGUUAAAAUGAGAAAUAAAGUGAAGAUAUGGAUUAUGAUGCAUAGGAAAGUGACUAAAUAAGUUAAAAUGUUGCCGUACUAAGCCGAAACAAACAUUUAUCAGAUUAAAAAAAUAUCUCAUAUUAUUGGAAAGUAUGAAUAGAAAACUUAAAAUGAAAAUUUGAUUUCAAGCCUAAGAUGCUUUCACAUGGAUAAAGUAACAGUAGUAUUAUUCUGUUGGGAUUUACAAAUAUAAUUAGAAGAAAUAAUAAAACUACAGGACGUUGCUGAAAAAAUUACAUUUUUGAGUACAUACAAAUACUCGUGGGGAGAAAUUUUACUAAUAGACAAUUUUAUGGUUUGGAUUGAGAAUACACCUGAAUUUGAGCAGUUUAAUAGGACCCAACUGAACAAAACCUUUCAAGGAUUUUAGAUUUUAGGAUUCUCAAGGAAGGAUUUAUUUUGACUCAUAUAUUUUUGGAGAAAUUUAGGCUGCAUAUCAGAUCAGAUAAGAAGAACACAAGCCACAGACUGAUACAUCCAAAUUUUAACUCAAGUAUAAUUUUCAAUAAAUUAAUGUAGCAGAUCAUUUUAAAAGUGACAAGCCAUUGUUAGGAAAAAAGCGUUAGUAAUUUCUCAGUCUUUUUGUAAUGCCCGACAUCAUAAUCUUAUUAAGUGCGUUUCCAGAGAUCUUUUUUGCCACGUACCAUCCGGCUAUGGAAUGAGCUCCCCUCCACGGUGUUUCCCGAGCGCUAUGACAUGUCCUUCUUCAAACGAGGCUUAUGGAGAGUAUUAAGCGGUAGGCAGCGGCUUGGCUCUGCCCCUGGCAUUGCUGAAGUCCAUGGGCGACGGUAACCACUCACCAUCAGGUGGGCCGUAUGCCCGUCUGCCUACAAAGGCAAUAAAAAAAAAAAAAAAAAAAAAAAAAAAGGUCUAAUCUUUUUCAUAUUAUGUAAUCAUAAAUCUAAUCGAUUAAUACGUGUCUUAGACUAAUUUGCAAAACAAUUUAAAAAUUUCUGGGCAGUCAAAUGUUUUUUAUGUUUUUAGGUGAACGAACGAAACAAAAAUAUCUAACAGUCCAAAGUAUAUCUAAUACUUUAAUACAAAAAAAAAUGUUAGCAUAGCACAAGUAAUAAAGCAUAUGUAGCACAAGCCAGUUGAAUAAAUAUGAAACGAAAUAUAAAAAUCGAUAAUAAUGUUGAACAAAAUGCUUGAAAAAAUCCAAAAUGAAAGAUGCUAAAUAUCGGAUAUACGUUAUGAUAAAAGCGUAGUUGCAGCAGCUUUAAUUUGUUGAUACUUUCGGAUCUAAAUAAAAGGAAUAACGGAACUUUAUUUCCCAAUCGAGACUUAAAUAACUUAACAAAUUCAUUAAAAUGUCCAAUUAUGAAACAAACUACAGUUUCUAGAUAGGUAAAUACAGAUUUAAGUUGUUUAGCACGUAUUGAAGUGAGGAAAUAUUAAAAACCAAAAAAUGUUACUAUUAUUAAAUUUCAAUAUUAUUAUAAAAAGAAGAACAGCAGAAUUAAGAUUAAUAAUUAAUAAUUCAUUACUUAUUUCAUUAAAUCUUACAGAUCUCCGGUAUUUCAGCUCUACGUGACAAUAUCAAAUAUUUAUUCGCGAAUUAUUAUUAAAUUUAUGUAAUACCAAUAUAGUUUGGCUCAUUUACUACUCGAGAUUCGAAGUGCUGACCCAAUAAGAGAAUCAUCGAAAGAAGGAUUAAUUUACAACGAAUAAGUGUUGAUUUAAAAUAAGUUUUAAAAAGGUGUGGAAAUUACAAAACAAUGUUUUGACAAAACAGAUGUCUGAUGAAAAUAUAGAGCGUUUUGGACUGGAUAUGGAAUAACUUCAAAGUAGAAAAAACAUUUUAAACCUGUCUGGAAUAGUCAAUAUUUUUAAAAGAAAUGUUUUAACAACUGCAGAUUUUGUGGAAAUCCGUAUAACUGAAAAAAAAUGUAUUGUAAAACGAAUAUAAUUCUAACAAACACAAUUGUGAGUAAAUAGUAAAAUAAAAAUCUAAAACAAAUUAAUAACAUUGAAGAGACUAAAUAAAUUCAGAAGGCUAAAGAUUUUUCAUAAUUUUCCCUGUAGGUGAAGUUUAAAAUGGAACGAAACAGAAUUAAUACGAGAAUUCCAUAAAUUUACAAUUAGAAAAUGCCAGAAAUGAAAGACAAAACAUUUUAUCCAUUAGUCUUAUUCAUUGAAGAAAACGAAUACGUAAUACAGAUGUUUAAACCCGUAUAUCCCUAGCCUAAUUUAAACCAUGACAUAUAUUAUGAAAACUUUAUAAACACAAAACAGCAAUAAAAAUUAAUUGGUUUCUUUUUUUUACAAUCAAGAUCAUUAUCGUCAUAAGAAUGAAUGGUAAUUCGGUACCUACCAUAACUAAUUCUCAACAAGCUGGGUAGCUCUAACAAGUUGACCAUUCGUGGGUAUCGGGUAGUUCAGAAGCGAAUUUGAAAAAGUUUUAAAUACCUGAGUAAAUCGCAUAAUGCUCGGUUAAACUGGAUAAUAAAUGGAAAUGAUUUUAAAACAAGGAGGUUUCGACAUUUUAAAGGUUUAUGAAAAUUAAAACACAUUUAAUCUUCAUUGCUUAUAAACCUUCAUUUAUUUGGAAGUAUUGUAUUGUUCCUGCAGAAUAUAACAAAAUUAUAAAUUAAGAACUUCGUGCACGAGGAAAUUUGUCGUUAAUAAAAUAUGAGACUUUUAAUCGCUUAAAGAAAAUUUUAUGUCGUACAGACGUAGGUACAGUCUGAAUAACGGAUAAUCGGAAUUAUACAUAAUAACACAAGUGCGUGUUUGUGAUGUGGUUUUAUUGCAGUUAUUUUUUAUAAUUUAUAAAUGAUAUAUUGGAUGUCUGUUGAAUGUGUGUUAUCGUUUAAUAUGAAAGUAAUUGUUGCUGCAAUAUAUUAAAAUGUGUAGGUAGUAGGAAUUCGUGUUCUGAAAUAAAAGUUGUCAGUGAAAUGCAAAUCCAUUCUUAAUAUUUGAAUAAGGUGUGUUUUUAUUAAAAUCGUUAAAAAAGUUCAAAAUUCUGGUGCCAUACAAUGAAUCUGUCUAGAAUUGAUACUGAUGGGAGUGAAAAAAUAUGUCUAGUUAAUGUUUGAAAAGUGCAGAAUAGUGCCAAUUUUUAUAAUGUGAUGUGUGCAAUAAAAUAUUAUGAAAUUGAAAUGACCAGUAAAUUUGAGUAAAAUUACGAAAAUUUACUAAAACUAUUUUUGUUGACACCUAAUGUAUUUUCCGACUGGCAUUGACACAGCAGAUGCAGAUCAUUGAAUUCAAAUUCUGAAAAGACAAACAAGGAACAGGAAAAUAUAAAUGAGUCUUUAUGAAAUGUUCAGCAGUUAUGUACUUAUGGAGUGGGCUAUAAUAAAGAUAUGAAUUUUCAAAAGAAAAGUAGCAAUAACAGUUUAGAAAACAAUGUCUACAGAAACAAAACUUUCUAAAAAUUGAGUUUAAAAAAAGCAUUAUCCCUCCAUAUAGAAUUAAUAUAUUUUUGUUAAAUCAUGAUCUCUGUAAGCUAUUACAUAAAUCUAUUUUAUAAGUAGACAUACUAUGCCUAGAUAUAACUUUGUAUAAGAAUGAGGGGAUUACCAUAAAUUUUGAAAACUAUUGUAUACAGUAUAUGUAUAUUAGUACUUAUAUGGUGUUCUGUUAUAACUGUCAUUUAUUUUCUGAUAGAGUAUUCAAACUGAAUUUGACAAAAUUAAAGAUUGGUAUUGUAAUGUUUACAGUGAAAUCCCGUGGAUUACAAUAUGAUUUGCAUUCCAACCCAUAGUAGUAGUUUACUGAUGCUGGAACAACAGUGAGUGAGGGUUAGAAAUUAAUAUUUAAACAAUAUUUGAAACAAUUAAUAGGACAGAAUAUCAAAGAUUUUUUAAUUAAUUUUAUGUUUAUCCUUUUUAAAUACUAACCAUUUACUGAUGAUGAAUAUAAUUUUUUGAAUAUAAUUGUAUAAUAUAAUAUUUGUUUUCAUAGUAUACAUGUUUAAAUAUAUCCAUGUUUAUAACCAAAAUUACCGUAGUAUGAAUUUUUAUUUAUUAUGUAUAGUAUACUUUUUCAGUACACUUAAAAACCUUUUUGUUAAAAAACUCGUAACAGUAGGUAUCAUUGUAGUUUGAAGGAAAUUAAAAUUUAUAUAAUAAGUGCUUCAUUGUUUUCUUUAAAAUUAUAAUUUUAGUCUUUGUUGGCUUGAACGAAACAUUAAAACAAGAAAAAAUUUCAUUAGGUUUAAAUAAGAUAAAGAUAAUUACUAAGUUCUGUAUACAAUCUUAAGAAAACAUAGAAUCAGGAAAUAAGGCCAAUUGUAAAAGGCAUACACAUCUGUAUUGCCUGAGUAACUUUUUGUUUUCAUAAAUUAUAACUAGUUUAAAAAAUCUAUGAUGACCAAAGCCAGUACAUGUAAGUGCUUUAACAAAUUAGUACAACAAUAAUGAUGACAAAAUAUUUCAUAAAUGUUUCUAUGCAUCUAAGACAAUCCAAAGAUAUUCUACAGAUUACAUGAAAUGGACUUUAAUAUAUGGUUCCUAAAAUUAAAAUUAUGAAACAUAUUACUUACAUUAUAUUUAGUUCGAAAGUGCACAUCACUUUGCUAAUUACGUUUAAAUAAUAUAGGUAGAUAGCUAAUUUCUUACAAAAGCAAUUCUGACUAUAACAGAGUAAAAUAUGAGUAGGCAAUAAGUAUAUAUCUUAUCAUUUAUUCAUUAGUUUUCGUUUUGUAAUUAGGAAAACUUCAACUUACAAAGGGGAAUUCUAACUUAAGCAUAUUCAAGUAAGCAAUCUUAAUUUUUAAAACAAGGUCGGGUUUGUUCGAACAUUUACAACUCGAGAACGGCUCGACCGAUUUUCAUGGUUUUUGAUUCGUUUUAUUUGUCUCCGUCCCGAAUUGGAAAAUACCGAUUAAAAACAUUGGAAAUUUUACGAAAAAAUAGAAGGAAAGACCUGUUCAUCCCGUUGAUACGGUAAAUUCUCCCCUCAUGUUAAAGAACGUAUUUAAAUAACGGUUUCGGAUCGACAAGAUACAUCCACAAUAUUAUGAUAAUAGCGUAUUUUAGAUUUUUUUUAAAAUAGGCACCUAUCUACCUACCUGCUCACUUACCUACUUAAUGGAAAGGGAUUGAUAUACUGGUUGUCAAAUAUCUAAGCGUGCGUUCCACUGAAGUAGGAAACCUGGUCUAUGGUGCGUUCCGAUAUUUAUAUUGUAUACAAAUUAAGGAGAAAAUAUGUCAAGCUAUGAUACGCCUGGAUUGUACUGCCUUAAUGACAAAGUGAUAUUUACUUCAGCAAAUCAGCAAAUGUGAUAAACAUUGCGGUCGAUCGGUGUGAAUAUUAUUUCUAGUUAAAAGGUACUAAUUCCUAUGUUUACAAAUAUGUUAUCACCAUCAAAAAAUAAGAACUAAAAAACUGCAAUAGGACGCAAAUAGGUUCACUAACCAAAAGAAAAUGCUAUUUAUCUUCUAUAUUAAUUCAGUUCUUCUUCGUAAUUAUUACUUUGUUCAGAAAUCUAGCGUAAGACAAUCUAUAAUAAGUUGAUAACGAAUUAUUUGAUAAACAUUGCGGUUGAUCGGUGUGAAUAUUAUUUAUAGUAUAAGAGUAAUAAUACCUAUGUUUACAAGUAUUUUAUCCAGCUAUCAAAAAAUUAAAGCGAAUAAAAAACUGCAAUAAGACGCGAAUAGGUUCACUUACCGAAGGAUAGUUAGUAUUUAACUUUCACAUUUAGUUUGUUUUCGAAAUUAUUUACUUUGUUCAGAAAUCUGGCGUUAGACAAUCUAAAGGUAGUAAGUAGAUAACGAAUUAUUUGAUAAACAUAUCGGAUGAUCGGUGCGAAUAUUAAUUCGAGUUAUAAGUUACUAUUUAUCAAAUAUUUUUAUCAAACUUUCAAAAAAUUUAAGGAAUUAAAAAACUGCAAUAGGACACGACUAGGUUCACUUACCAAAGUAUAAUUGUUAUUUAUCUUCUAUAUAAAUUUACUUUGUUUUCGAUAUUAUUUACUUUGUUCAGAAAUCUGGCACUAGUUAAUCUAAAAGUAUUGAUAACGAAUUAUUUGAUAAAUAUUGCAAUUGAUCGGUAUGAAUAUUAUUUAGAGUUAAAUGGUACUAUGUAAUUCCUAUGUUUACAAAUAUGUUAUCAAACUAUCAACCAAUUUAAUGAACUAAAAAACUGCAAUAGGACGCGAAUAGGUUCACCUACCAACGGAUAGUUAUUAUUUAGCUUGUAUAUGAAUUUAGUUCUUUUUCAAAAUUAUUAACUUGGUUCAGAAAUUUGGCAUUAGAUGAUCUAAAAUUAGUUGAUAAUUAAUUAUUUGAUAAACAUCGCGGUUGAUCGGUAUGAAUAUUAUUUCGAGUAAAACGGUACUAAUAACUAUGUUUACAAAUAUGUUAUCAAACUACCAAAAAGCUUGAGGAACUGAAAAACUACAAUAGGACACUUAGGACAAAUAGGUUCACUUAUCAAAAUAUAAUUAUUAUUGAGCUUCCAUAUUUUUUUUUUUUUUCGAAAUUGAUUGCUUUGUUCAGAAAUUUGGCGUUAGAUAAUCUAUAAUCAGUUGAUAACGAAUUAUUUGAUAAACAUUGCGGUUGAUCGGUGUGAAUAGUAUUUCUAGUAUAAGAGUAAUAAUUCCUAUGUUUACAAAUAUGUUACCAAACUACCAAAAUUUUAAGGAACUAAAAAACUACCGUAGGACACGGUUAGGUUCACUUACCAAAAUAUAAUUGAUAAUGGACUUCUAUAUAAAUUUACUUUGUUAUUGAAAUUAUUUACUUUGAUCAGAAAUCGGGCGUUAGAUAAUCUAAAAGUAGUUAGUUGAUAACGAAUUAUUUGAUAAACAUUGCGAUUGAUCGGUGUGAAUAUUGAUCAAACUAUCAAAACAUUUAAGGAACUAAAAUACUGCAAAAGAAUGGGAAUAGGUUCACUUACCUACGGAUAGUUAUUAAUUAGUAGCUUCUAUGUAAAUUUAGUUCUUUUUCGUAAUUAUUUACUAUGUUCAGAAACCUGGCAUUAGCUAAUCUAAAAAUAUUGAUAACGAAUUAUUUGAUAAAUAUUGCGAUUGAUCGGUGUGAAUAUUGUUUCUAGUUAAAAGGUACUAAUAACUGUUUACAAAUAUGUUAUCAAACUACCAAAAAGCUUAAGGCACUGAAAAACUGCAAUAGGACACGAUUAGGUUCACUUACCAAAAUAUAAUUGAUAAUAGACUUCUAUAUAAAUUUACUUUGUUAUUGAAAUUAUUUACUUUGAUCAGAAAUCUGGCGUUAGAUAAUAUAAAAUUAGAUAAUAACAAAUUAUUUGAGAAAAAUUGCCGUUGAUCGGUAUGAAUAUUAUUUUUAGUUAAAAGGUACUAAUAACUAUGUUUACAAAUAUGUUAUCAAACUAUCAAAACAUUUAAGGAACUAAAAAACUGCAAUAGGAUGGGAAUAGGUUCACUUACCUACGGAUAGUUAUUAUUGAGAUUAUAUAUAAAUUUAAAUGUUUUCGAAAUUAUUUACUUUGUUCAGAAAUCUGGCGUUAGAUAAUCUAAACUUAGUUGAUAACAAAUUAUUUGAUAAACAUUGCAAUUGAUCGGUGUGAAUAUUGUUUCUAGUUAAAAAGUAUUAAUAACUAUGUUUACAAAAUAUAUGCUGUCAAACUACCAAAAAAGUUAAGGAACUAAAAAACUUCAAUAGGACGGGAAUAGAAUUAUUUACCAAAAUAUAAUUGUUAUUUAGCUUCUACAUAAAUUUAGUUUUUUUUUCGAAAUUAUUUACUUUGUUCAGAAAUCUGGCGUUAGAUAAUCUAAAAGUAUUGAUAACGAAUUAUUUGAUAAACAUUGCGAUUGAUCGGUGUGAAUAUUGUUUUUAGUUAAAAGGUACUAUUAACUAUGUUUACAAUUAUGUUAUCAAACUAUCAAAACAUUUAAGGAACUAAAUAAUUGCAAUAGGACGCGUAUAGGUUCACCUACCAACGGAUAGUUAUUAUUUCGCUUCUAUAUAAAUUUACAUGUUUUCAAAAUUAUUUACUUUGUUUAGAAAUGGAGCGUUAGAUAAUCUAAACUUAAUUGAUAACGAAUUAUUUGAUAAACAUUGCGGUUGAUUGGCGUGAAUAUUAUGUCUACAUAAAAGGUACUAAUUAGUAUGUUUACAAAUAUGUUAUCAAACUAUCAAAAUAUUUAAGGAACUAAAUAAUUGCAAUAGGACGCGUAUAGGUUCACCUACCAAUGGAUAGUUAUUAUUUCGCUUCUAUAUAAAUUUACAUGUUUUCGAAAUUAUUUACUUUGUUCAGAAAUCUGGCGUAAGAUGAUCAAAAAUUAUUUGAUAAACAUUGCGGUUGAUCCGUGUGAAUAUUGUGUCUAGUUAUGUUAUCAAACUACCAAAAAUUUAAAGGAACUAAAAAACUGCAAAAUGAUGGGAAUAGGUUCACUUACCUACGGAUAGUUAUUAAUUAGUAGCUUCUAUAUAAAUUUAGAUAUUUUUCGAAAUGAUUUGCUUUUUUCAGAAAUCUGGUACUAGCUAAUCUAAAAGUAUUGAUAACGAAUUAUUUGAUAAACAUUGCGGUUGAUUGGCGUGAAUAUUAUUUCUACAUAAAAGGUACUAAUUAGUAUGUUUACAAAUAUGUUAUCAAACUAUCAAAACAUUUAAGGAACUAAAUAAUUGCAAUAGGACGCGUAUAGGUUCACCUACCAACGGAUAGUUAUUAUUUCGCUUCUAUAUAGAUUUACAUGUUUUCGAAAUUAUUUACUUUGUUCAGAAAUCUGGCGUUAGACAAUCUAAAGGUAGUAAGUAAGUAGAUAACGAAUUAUUUGAUAAACGUAUCGGAUGAUCGGUGCGAAUAUUAAUUUGAGUUAUAAGGUACUAUUUAUCAAAUAUUUUUAUCAAACUUUCAAAAUAUUUAAGGAAUUAAAAAACUGCAAUAGGACACUACUAGGUUCACUUACCAAAGUAUAAUUAUUAUUGAGCUUCCAUAUAAUUUUUUUUUUCGAAAUUGUUUGCUUUGUUCAGAAAUUUGGCGUUAGAUAAUCUAUAAUCAGUUGAUAACGAAUUAUUUGAUAAACAUUGCGGUUGAUCGGUGUGAAUAGUAUUUCUAGUAUAAGAGUAAUAAUUCCUAUGUUUACAAAUAUGUUACCAAACUACCAAAAUUUUAAGGAACUAAAAAACUACCGUAGGACACGGUCAGGUUCACUUACCAAAAUAUAAUUGAUAAUGGACUUCUAUAUAAAUUUACUUUGUUAUUGAAAUUAUUUACUUUGAUCAGAAAUCGGGCGUUAGAUAAUCUAAAAGUAGUUAGUUGAUAACGAAUUAUUUGAUAAACAUUGCGAUUGAUCAGUGUGAAUAUUGAUCAAACUAUCAAAACAUUUAAGGAACUAAAAUACUGCAAAAGAAUGGGAAUAGGUUCACUUACCUACGGAUAGUUAUUAAUUAGUAGCUUCUAUAUAAAUUUAGAACAUUUUCAAAAUUAUUUACUUUGUUCAGAAAUCUGGUACUAGCUAAUCUAAAAGAAUUGAUAACGAAUUAUUUGAUAAACAUUGCGAUUGAUCGGUGUGAAUAUUGUUUCUAGUUAAUAAGUACUAAUAAUUAUGUUUAAAAAUACGUUAACAAACUAUCAAAACAUUUAAGGAACUAAAAAACUGCAAUAGGAUGGAAAUAGGGUUCACUUAUCUACGGACAAUUAUUAAUUAGUAGCUUCUAUAUAAAUUUAGAUCCUUUUCGAAAUUAUUGACUUUGUUCAGAAAUCUGGUACUAGCUAAUCUAAAGGUAUUGAUAACGAGUUAUUUGAUAAACACUGCGAUGGAUCGAUAUGAAAAUUAUUUUUAGUUAAAAAGUACUAAUAACUAUGUUUACAAAUACGUUAAAAAACUAUCAAAAUAUUUAAGGAACUAAAAAACUGCACUAGGACGUAAAUAGGUUCACUUACCUACGGAUAGUUAUUAAUUAGUAGCUUCUAUGUAAAUUUAGUUCUUUUUCGUAAUUAUUUACUAUGUUCAGAAACCUGGCAUUAGCUAAUCUAAAAAUAUUGAUAACGAAUUAUUUGAUAAAUAUUGCGAUUGAUCGGUGUGAAUAUUGUUUCUAGUAUAAGAGUAAUAAUUCCUAUGUUUACAAAUAUGUUACCAAACUACCAAAAUUUUAAGGAACUAAAAAACUGCAAUAGGAUGGGAAUAGGUUCACUUACCUACGGAUAGUUAUUAUUUAGAUUCUACAUAAAUUUAGUUUUUUUUUUCGAAAUUAUUUACUAUGUUCAUAAAUCUGGCGUUAGAUAAUCCAAAAGUAUUGAUAACGAAUUAUUUGAUAAACAUUGCGAUUGAUCGGUGUGAAUAGUAUUUCUAGUAUAAGAGUAAUAAUUCCUAUGUUUACAAAUAUGAUACCAAACUACCAAAUUUUUAAGGAACUAAAAAACUACCGUAGGACACGGUCAGGUUCACUUACCAAAAUAUAAUUGAUAAUAGACUUCUAUAUAAAUUUACUUUGUUAUUGAAAUUAUUUACUUUGAUCAGAAAUCUGGCGUUAGGUAAUAUAAAAUUAGUUAAUAACAAAUUAUUUGAGAAAAAUUGCGGUUGAUCGGUAUGAAUAUUAUUUUUAGUUAAAAAGUACUAAUAACUAUGUUUACAAAUAUGUUAUCAAACUAUCAAAACAUUUAAAGAACUAAAAAACUGCAAUAGGAUGGGAAUAGCCUCACCUACCAACGGAUAGUUAUUAUUUCGCUUCUAUAUAAAUUUACAUGUUUUCGAAAUUAUUUACUUUGUUCAGAAAUCUGGCGUAAGAUGAUCAAAAAUUAUUUGAUAAACAUUGCGGUUGAUCGGUAUGAAUAUUAUUUUUAGUUAAAAAGUACUAAUAACUAUGUUUACAAAUAUGUUAUCAAACUAUCAAAACAUUUAAGGAACUAAAAAACUGCAAUAGGAUGGGAAUAGGUUCACUUACCUACGGAUAGUUAUUAAUUAGUAGCUUCUAUAUAAAUUUGGAUCCUUUUCGAAAUGAUUUACUUUUUCAGAAAUCUGGUACUAGCUAAUCUAAAAGUAUUGAUAACGAAUUAUUUGAUAAACAUUGCGAUUGAUCGGUGUGAAUAUUGUUUCUAGUUAAAAGGUACUAAUAACUAUGUUUACAAAUAUGUUAUCAAACUAUCAAAACAUUUAAGGAACUAUAAAACUGCAAUAAGAUAUAAAUAGGUUCACUUACCAAAAGAUAAUUGUUAUUUAGCUUCUACAUAAAUUCAUUUUUUUUUUUUCGAAAUUAUUUACUUUGUUCUGGCGUAAGAUAAUCUUAAAGUAGUUGAUAACGAAUUAUUUGAUAAACAUUGCGAUUGAUUGGCGUGAAUAUUAUUUCUACUUAAAAGGUACUAAUUAGUAUGUUUACAAAUAUGUUAUCAAACUACCAAAAAGCUUAAGGUACUGAAAAACUACAAUAGGACACGAUUAGGUUCACUUAUCAAAAUAUAAUUAUUAUUGAGCUUCUAUAUAAUUUUUUUUUUCGAAAUUGUUUGCUUUGUUCAGAAAGUUGGCGUUAGAUCAUCUAUAAUCAGUUGAUAACGAAUUAUUUGAUAAACGUUGAUCGGUGUGAAUAGUAUUUCUAGUAUAAGAGUAAUAAUUCCUAUGUUUACAAAUAUGAUACCAAACUACCAAAAUUUUAAGGAACUAAAAAACUACCGUAGGACACGGCCAGGUUCACUUACCAAAAUAUAAUUGAUAAUAGACUUCUAUAUAAAUUUACUUUGUUAUUGAAAUUAUUUACUUUGAUCAGAAAUCUGGCGUUAGGUAAUAUAAAAUUAGUUAAUAACAAAUUAUUUGAGAAAAAUUGCGGUUGAUCGGUAUGAAUAUUAUUUUUAGUUAAAAAGUACUAAUAACUAUGUUUACAAACAUGUUAUCAAACUAUCAAAACAUUUAAGGAACUAAAAAACUGCAAUAGGAUGGAAAUAGGGUUCACUUAUCUACGGACAAUUAUUAAUUAGUAGCUUCUAUAUAAAUUUAGAUCCUUUUCGAAAUUAUUGACUUUGUUCAGAAAUCUGCCGUUAGAUAAUCUAAAAGUAUUAUUGAUAACGAAUUAUUUGAUAAACAUUGCGAUUGAUCGGUGUGAAUAUUGUUUUUAGUUAAAAGGUACUAAUAACUAUGUUAACAAAUAUGUUAUCAAAUCAUAGAAACAUUUAAGGAAAUAAAAAACUGCAAUAGGACGCGAAUAGGUUCACUUACCAACGGAUAGUUAUUAUUUCGCUUCUAUAUAAAUUUACAUGUUUUCAAAAUUAUUUACUUUGUUCAGAAAUCUGGCGUUAGAUAAUCUAAAAGUAUUGAUAACGAAUUAUUUGAUAAACAUUGCGAUUGAUCGGUGUGAAUAUUGUUUUUAGUUAAAAGGUACUAUUAACUAUGUUUACAAUUAUGUUAUCAAACUAUCAAAACAUUUAAGGAACUAAAUAAUUGCAAUAGGACGCGUAUAGGUUCACCUACCAACGGAUAGUUAUUAUUUCGCUUCUAUAUAAAUUUACAUGUUUUCAAAAUUAUUUACUUUGUUUAGAAAUGGAGCGUUAGAUAAUCUAAACUUAAUUGAUAACGAAUUAUUUGAUAAACAUUGCGGUUGAUUGGCGUGAAUAUUAUGUCUACAUAAAAGGUACUAAUUAGUAUGUUUACAAAUAUGUUAUCAAACUAUCAAAAUAUUUAAGGAACUAAAUAAUUGCAAUAGGACGCGUAUAGGUUCACCUACCAAUGGAUAGUUAUUAUUUCGCUUCUAUAUAAAUUUACAUGUUUUCGAAAUUAUUUACUUUGUUCAGAAAUCUGGCGUAAGAUGAUCAAAAAUUAUUUGAUAAACAUUGCGGUUGAUCCGUGUGAAUAUUGUGUCUAGUUAUGUUAUCAAACUACCAAAAAUUUAAAGGAACUAAAAAACUGCAAAAUGAUGGGAAUAGGUUCACUUACCUACGGAUAGUUAUUAAUUAGUAGCUUCUAUAUAAAUUUAGAUAUUUUUCGAAAUGAUUUGCUUUUUUCAGAAAUCUGGUACUAGCUAAUCUAAAAGUAUUGAUAACGAAUUAUUUGAUAAACAUUGCGGUUGAUUGGCGUGAAUAUUAUUUCUACAUAAAAGGUACUAAUUAGUAUGUUUACAAAUAUGUUAUCAAACUAUCAAAACAUUUAAGGAACUAAAUAAUUGCAAUAGGACGCGUAUAGGUUCACCUACCAACGGAUAGUUAUUAUUUCGCUUCUAUAUAGAUUUACAUGUUUUCGAAAUUAUUUACUUUGUUCAGAAAUCUGGCGUUAGACAAUCUAAAGGUAGUAAGUAAGUAGAUAACGAAUUAUUUGAUAAACGUAUCGGAUGAUCGGUGCGAAUAUUAAUUUGAGUUAUAAGGUACUAUUUAUCAAAUAUUUUUAUCAAACUUUCAAAAUAUUUAAGGAAUUAAAAAACUGCAAUAGGACACUACUAGGUUCACUUACCAAAGUAUAAUUAUUAUUGAGCUUCCAUAUAAUUUUUUUUUUCGAAAUUGUUUGCUUUGUUCAGAAAUUUGGCGUUAGAUAAUCUAUAAUCAGUUGAUAACGAAUUAUUUGAUAAACAUUGCGGUUGAUCGGUGUGAAUAGUAUUUCUAGUAUAAGAGUAAUAAUUCCUAUGUUUACAAAUAUGUUACCAAACUACCAAAAUUUUAAGGAACUAAAAAACUACCGUAGGACACGGUCAGGUUCACUUACCAAAAUAUAAUUGAUAAUGGACUUCUAUAUAAAUUUACUUUGUUAUUGAAAUUAUUUACUUUGAUCAGAAAUCGGGCGUUAGAUAAUCUAAAAGUAGUUAGUUGAUAACGAAUUAUUUGAUAAACAUUGCGAUUGAUCAGUGUGAAUAUUGAUCAAACUAUCAAAACAUUUAAGGAACUAAAAUACUGCAAAAGAAUGGGAAUAGGUUCACUUACCUACGGAUAGUUAUUAAUUAGUAGCUUCUAUAUAAAUUUAGAACAUUUUCAAAAUUAUUUACUUUGUUCAGAAAUCUGGUACUAGCUAAUCUAAAAGAAUUGAUAACGAAUUAUUUGAUAAACAUUGCGAUUGAUCGGUGUGAAUAUUGUUUCUAGUUAAUAAGUACUAAUAAUUAUGUUUAAAAAUACGUUAACAAACUAUCAAAACAUUUAAGGAACUAAAAAACUGCAAUAGGAUGGAAAUAGGGUUCACUUAUCUACGGACAAUUAUUAAUUAGUAGCUUCUAUAUAAAUUUAGAUCCUUUUCGAAAUUAUUGACUUUGUUCAGAAAUCUGGUACUAGCUAAUCUAAAGGUAUUGAUAACGAGUUAUUUGAUAAACACUGCGAUGGAUCGAUAUGAAAAUUAUUUUUAGUUAAAAAGUACUAAUAACUAUGUUUACAAAUACGUUAAAAAACUAUCAAAAUAUUUAAGGAACUAAAAAACUGCACUAGGACGUAAAUAGGUUCACUUACCUACGGAUAGUUAUUAAUUAGUAGCUUCUAUGUAAAUUUAGUUCUUUUUCGUAAUUAUUUACUAUGUUCAGAAACCUGGCAUUAGCUAAUCUAAAAAUAUUGAUAACGAAUUAUUUGAUAAAUAUUGCGAUUGAUCGGUGUGAAUAUUGUUUCUAGUAUAAGAGUAAUAAUUCCUAUGUUUACAAAUAUGUUACCAAACUACCAAAAUUUUAAGGAACUAAAAAACUGCAAUAGGAUGGGAAUAGGUUCACUUACCUACGGAUAGUUAUUAUUUAGAUUCUACAUAAAUUUAGUUUUUUUUUUCGAAAUUAUUUACUAUGUUCAUAAAUCUGGCGUUAGAUAAUCCAAAAGUAUUGAUAACGAAUUAUUUGAUAAACAUUGCGAUUGAUCGGUGUGAAUAGUAUUUCUAGUAUAAGAGUAAUAAUUCCUAUGUUUACAAAUAUGAUACCAAACUACCAAAUUUUUAAGGAACUAAAAAACUACCGUAGGACACGGUCAGGUUCACUUACCAAAAUAUAAUUGAUAAUAGACUUCUAUAUAAAUUUACUUUGUUAUUGAAAUUAUUUACUUUGAUCAGAAAUCUGGCGUUAGGUAAUAUAAAAUUAGUUAAUAACAAAUUAUUUGAGAAAAAUUGCGGUUGAUCGGUAUGAAUAUUAUUUUUAGUUAAAAAGUACUAAUAACUAUGUUUACAAAUAUGUUAUCAAACUAUCAAAACAUUUAAAGAACUAAAAAACUGCAAUAGGAUGGGAAUAGCCUCACCUACCAACGGAUAGUUAUUAUUUCGCUUCUAUAUAAAUUUACAUGUUUUCGAAAUUAUUUACUUUGUUCAGAAAUCUGGCGUAAGAUGAUCAAAAAUUAUUUGAUAAACAUUGCGGUUGAUCGGUAUGAAUAUUAUUUUUAGUUAAAAAGUACUAAUAACUAUGUUUACAAAUAUGUUAUCAAACUAUCAAAACAUUUAAGGAACUAAAAAACUGCAAUAGGAUGGGAAUAGGUUCACUUACCUACGGAUAGUUAUUAAUUAGUAGCUUCUAUAUAAAUUUGGAUCCUUUUCGAAAUGAUUUACUUUUUCAGAAAUCUGGUACUAGCUAAUCUAAAAGUAUUGAUAACGAAUUAUUUGAUAAACAUUGCGAUUGAUCGGUGUGAAUAUUGUUUCUAGUUAAAAGGUACUAAUAACUAUGUUUACAAAUAUGUUAUCAAACUAUCAAAACAUUUAAGGAACUAUAAAACUGCAAUAAGAUAUAAAUAGGUUCACUUACCAAAAGAUAAUUGUUAUUUAGCUUCUACAUAAAUUCAUUUUUUUUUUUUCGAAAUUAUUUACUUUGUUCUGGCGUAAGAUAAUCUUAAAGUAGUUGAUAACGAAUUAUUUGAUAAACAUUGCGAUUGAUUGGCGUGAAUAUUAUUUCUACUUAAAAGGUACUAAUUAGUAUGUUUACAAAUAUGUUAUCAAACUACCAAAAAGCUUAAGGUACUGAAAAACUACAAUAGGACACGAUUAGGUUCACUUAUCAAAAUAUAAUUAUUAUUGAGCUUCUAUAUAAUUUUUUUUUUCGAAAUUGUUUGCUUUGUUCAGAAAGUUGGCGUUAGAUCAUCUAUAAUCAGUUGAUAACGAAUUAUUUGAUAAACGUUGAUCGGUGUGAAUAGUAUUUCUAGUAUAAGAGUAAUAAUUCCUAUGUUUACAAAUAUGAUACCAAACUACCAAAAUUUUAAGGAACUAAAAAACUACCGUAGGACACGGCCAGGUUCACUUACCAAAAUAUAAUUGAUAAUAGACUUCUAUAUAAAUUUACUUUGUUAUUGAAAUUAUUUACUUUGAUCAGAAAUCUGGCGUUAGGUAAUAUAAAAUUAGUUAAUAACAAAUUAUUUGAGAAAAAUUGCGGUUGAUCGGUAUGAAUAUUAUUUUUAGUUAAAAAGUACUAAUAACAAACAUGUUAUCAAACUAUCAAAACAUUUAAGGAACUAAAAAACUGCAAUAGGAUGGAAAUAGGGUUCACUUAUCUACGGACAAUUAUUAAUUAGUAGCUUCUAUAUAAAUUUAGAUCCUUUUCGAAAUUAUUGACUUUGUUCAGAAAUCUGCCGUUAGAUAAUCUAAAAGUAUUAUUGAUAACGAAUUAUUUGAUAAACAUUGCGAUUGAUCGGUGUGAAUAUUGUUUUUAGUUAAAAGGUACUAAUAACUAUGUUAACAAAUAUGUUAUCAAAUCAUAGAAACAUUUAAGGAAAUAAAAAACUGCAAUAGGACGCGAAUAGGUUCACUUACCAACGGAUAGUUAUUAUUUCGCUUCUAUAUAAAUUUACAUGUUUUCAAAAUUAUUUACUUUGAUCAGAAAUUGAGCGUUAGAUAAUCUAAAAUUAGUUGAUAACGAAUUAUUUGAUAAACAUUGCGGUUGAUUGGCUUUAAUAUUAUUCUUACUUAAAAGGUACUAAUUACUUGUUUACAAAUAUGUUAUCAAACUAUCAAAACAUUUAAGGAACUAUAAAACUGCAAUAAGAUGUAAAUAGGUUCACUUACCAAAAGAUAAUUGUUAUUUAGUUUCUAUAUAAAUUUAGUUCUUUUUCGAAAUUAUUUAUUUUGUUCAGAAAUCUGGCGUUAGAUAAUAUAAACUUAGUUGAUAACAAAUUAUUUGAUAAACAUUGCGAUUGAUCGGUGUGAAUAUUGUUUCUAGUUAAAAGGUACUAAUAACUAUGUUUACAAAUUUAUAUUUAUUUAUUUAUUUAUUAUUAAAAAAAAAGAACACAAUAUUCCUAACCUAAAAGUACAUGUUAUUAUCCGCAACAUGCUUCGUCAGCAUGUUUACAAAUAUGUUAUCAAACUAUCAAAAUAUUUAAGGAACUAAAAAACUCCACUAGGACGUAAAUAGGUUCACUUACCUACGGAUAGUUAUUAAUUAAUAGCUUCUAUGUAAAUUUAGUUCUUUUUCGUAAUUAUUUACUUUGUUCAGAAACCUGGUAUUAGCUAAUCUAAAAGUAUUGAUAACGAAUUAUUUGAUAAACAUUGCGAUUGAUCGGCGUGAAUAAUAUUUCAAUUUUAAAGGUUCUAAUAACUAUGUUUACAAAUAUGCUAUGAAACUAUCAAAAAAUUUUAAGGAACUAAAAAACUUCAAUAGGACGGGAAUAGAAUCAUUUACCAAAAUAUAAUUGUUAUUUAGCUUCUAUAUAAAUUUAUAUGUUUUCGAAAUUAUUUACUAUUGUUCAGAAAUCUGGCGUUAGAUAAUCUAAAAUUAGUUGAUAACAGAUUAUUUGAUAAACAUUGCAAUUGAUCCGUGUGAAUAUUGUUUCUAAUCAAAAGGUACUAAUAACUAUGUUUACAAAUAUGUUAUCAAACUAUCAAAACAUUUAAGGAACUAAAAAACUGCAAUAGGAUGCGAAUAGGUUCACUUACCAAAAUAUAAUUGUUAUUUAGUUUCUAUAUAAAUUUAGUUCUUUUUCGAAAUUAUUUACUUUGUUCAGAAAUCUGGCGUUAGAUAAUAUAAAAGUAUUGAUAACGAAUUAUUUGAUUAACAUUGCGAUUGAUCGGCGUGAAUAAUAUUUCUAUAUUAAAGGUUCUAAUAACUAUGUUUAGAAAUAUGCUAUGAAACUCUCAAAAAAUUUUAAGUAACUAAAAAACUGCAAUAGGAUGGGAAUAGGUUCACUUACCUACGGAUAGUUAUUAUUUAGAUUCUAUAUAAAUUUAUAUGUUUUCGAAAUUAUUUACUUUGUUCAGAAAUCUGGCGUUAGAUAAUCUAAACUUAGUUGAUAACAAAUUAUUUGAUAAACAUUGCAAUUGAUCCGUGUGAAUAUUAUUUUUAGUUAAAAAGUACUAAUAACUAUGUUUACAAAUAUGUUAUCAAAUUAUCAAAACAUUUAAGGAACUAAAAAACUGCAAUAGGAUGGGAAUAGGUUCACUUACCUACGCAUAGUUGUUAUUUAGAUUCUACAUAUAUUUAGUUUUUUUUUCGAAAUUAUUUACUUUGUUCAGAAAUCUGGCGUUAGAUAAUCUAGAAGUAUUGAUAACGAAUUAAUUGAUAAACAUUGCGAUUGAUCGGUGUGAAUAUUGUUUCUAGUUAAAAGGUACUAAUAACUAUGUUUACAAUUAAGUUAUCAAACUACCAAAAAAUUCAAGGAACUAUACAACAAGGAACUAUAACAGGUUAUAUAUAAUUUUUACGAAAUUAUUUAUUUUGAUCGGAAAUCAGGCAUUAACUAAUCUAAAAAUAUUGAUAACGAAUUUAUUUAAAAAACGUUGCGAUUGAUCGGUAUGAAAAUGAUUUCUAGUUAAAAAAUACUAAUUAGUAUAUUUACAAAUAAUAAUAUGUUAUCAAACUAUCAAUAAAAUUACGGAACUAAAAAACUACAAUAGGACUCGAAUAGGUUCAAUUACCAAAGGUCAUUGCUAUUUAGCUUCUAUAUUAAAAUAAUUCUUCUUCGAAAUUAUUUACUUUGUUCAGAAAUCUGGCAUUAUCUAGUCUAAAAGUAUUGAUAACGAAUUUAUUUAAAAAACGUUGCGAUUGAUCGGUAUGAAAAUGAUUUCUAGUUAAAAAAUACUAAUUAGUAUGUUUACAAAUAAUAAUAUGUUAUCAAACUAUCAAUAAAAUUACGGAACUAAAAAACUACAAUAGGACGCGAAUAGGUUCAAUUACCAAAGGUCAUUGCUAUUUAGCUUCUAUAUAAAUUUAGUUAUUUUUCGAAAUUAUUUACUUUGUUCAGAAAUCUGGCAUUAUCUAGUCUAAAAGUAUUGAUAACGAAUUUAUUUAAAAAACGUUGCGAUUGAUCGGUAUGAAAAUGAUUUCUAGUUAAAAAAUACUAAUUAGUAUAUUUACAAAUAAUAAUAUGUUAUCAAACUAUCAAUAAAAUUACGGAACUAAAAAACUACAAUAGGACGCGAAUAGGUUCAAUUACCAAAGGUCAUUGCUAUUUAGCUUCUAUAUUAAAAUAAGUCUUCUUCGAAAUUAUUUACUUUGUUUAGAAAUUUGGCAUUAGCUAAUCUAAAAGUAGUUGAUAGCGAAUUAUUUGCUAAAAAUUAAAGAUAAAACCUAAUGGUGAUAAAACAAUAAAUUUCCAUCUAUUGAUCUUUAUUGUUGUAAUCAUCUUUACAAAUAAAUCCUGACCUAUAAUAUUUGUGAUAGGUAAACAUAAAAUAUAAAAAAAAUAAUUCAGCUGAUAUAGCCUUGUAUGACCAUUCAAUAUACUCGUGCAUCAUUCCAUUGGAUAAUUCUAUCAAUCGUAUAUUAAUGAAUACCUACAUAAUAAUAUGUUCGGUUGUUAUACAUAUUUAUUUUAAUGUAUAUAUAUGUAAUUAUAUAAGUGUACAGAUAUGUAUGUACUGGUUCAUGGUAUUUCUGUAAAGAUGUGACGUUGUGGUAUUUUUGGUAGGUUUAUCGUUAUUUAUGACUCAUGAAUGCAUUGAUUCGGGAUAAUAAGUUAAGAAAGAGAUAAAAUUUACAUGUGCGUCAUUAUUGAGUUUUAUUGAAGUGAACGUGAUUGAUAUUUACUUUCCUUGGGGAAUUCAUACAAACGAUAAAUCGACAUAAAUACCUUUUAAAUAAGCCAUCAGUGCACCGCUGCGUAAACUUAUACAAUUUUGACUUCUAGCGAGUAUUUGGCCUAAUUGCUUCGUACUAUAUAAGGUUAUAACAAGUUUCGACCCAAAAUAUUUGUUACCUAGUCCAAUUAAAUUUUAUAACUAGAAUCAAUCUAUAGUUCUUAGGUUUAAAUGAAUUCUUGCUUGCAGAUUCAUCCGAUGUGAAAUUAAAUUGCACAUAUCAAUUAGCGGUUUGCGUUAACAAUGCAUCCAGUACACUUAACAUAAUGGGCACUUGUCGUUUGUAUGUUAUGUGAACAUAUUGGUUUUUGGGCUUUGCAUUACUUUGUUUGAUUGUCGGAUUGUUAACUGAGUUAACUGUUAUGAACGAACAUCACGUUGCACUGGUUAUUUAAAUGGCAUGAAUAUUCAAAGUUUUUUCAGAUUUAGCACCCCUAGCUAGCUAGCCCUCUUCGCGAAAGCUAAAUUCUUUAAUUUCAAAGUUUCGUUCGAUUAUCUCAACAGCUGAAUCCAUGCGAUUUAUUUACAGAGCAAAACCUAAAAAAAACCUAAAUCGGGAUGUAUAAAACAAAGUACCUAUUAGUGUAAAAAUUAUUUCCAACGGCUCUGGCUUUUAACAUAACCUAGAGUACAAUAACCACGCGUCGCAUGCAAACUAUUAGGUACCUAUCUGUCAUGGUGUUCCGAACAUUAUCAUGUUUGAUUCGACUGCUUUCAAAUCAUUUAAAACAUAAUAUUAAAUGUAUCCUUCCAAUUAUUUAUAUUUCAGAAGCUGUAAACGUUAACAAAUAACAUUAUAACUUAAUGUAAUUAUUUGCCAACGCUUGUUCUGCAGAGCCCGUUAUGAUUGCAUCGUUUCAUCGUUCUAACGGCGGAUGGUUGGUUGCAUCUCGUAUCCCGUUUACCGGCAAACAAAACUUAAAGAUCUCGAGACGAGUUGAGGACGCGGGGGGCUCCUUAAAUAUUGAUCAGCGUUAAUGUUUCAUCGUAACUUUUCGAAAAGUUAUCUAAACAUUUCAAGGUAUAUUAUAGUUUACCAAAAAUAAUAUAAAUAUUAUAGUACUCUGGGACUGCUAAUUAAAAACAAAACCAAUAACGUUUUACGCUAAAAUUAAUACGACGUUAACUAAUUUGGCGUCUCUAAAAAUCUAAACACCGUGAAUAACUCGACAUUAAAUGAAGUUAAAAGCAACUUUAGCAAGGAUAAAUUUUACUAUACUACUACAUACAAAAUUAACCCGGGUAAUUAGUACAUAACACCACCUAAUUUGAAUAAAAGAAAUUCGGUAAAUCCGGUUCCGGUGUGUUAGAUUCAAAGAGCAAUAGUUAAGUGGAACUAACCAAAUCAGAAAACAAAAAAGAAAACAAAAGCUAGAUUUAGGAGAUACAAUAAUUGUUUACAAUGUUUGAUUUUCAGAUGUAUUUUUUUAUCUCGGAGUCGGCAGGCAGGGUUUUCGUGGCACGGAUACGAUAGGCAGCGAUAUUUCAAAUACCUUGCGUUCAGGAGCCGACUUAUAGUGGAAAUAGGCAGGCGUGAAAACAGUUUUAAUUUUAAACAAUGUUUUUUUUUGUAAAUCCACUUUUUUUAUAUAAUGUUUAAAAUCUUAUUCCGCUAAAAAAACUUGUCUUUGUGAUGCAUAAAAUAUUGUGUAAAUUUUAAAAUCACCAAACCAAAUUACCUAAAUAAAGAUCUAAUAGUAGUAGCAUAUCUUUUAUUCAAUUAAAACAAAUGAUUUUCAGGUUCACUAUGCAUAUAUUGCGUAGUAAAAAAAUAUGAUUUCAGUACUAUUUUCAGGAUUUGAAACUAAAUGCAGUAUAUACCGGGCGAUGACUAAAUAGGUUUUUUUUUAAAAAGAUCUAAUAAGUCAGGUAAAUUAUAAGUAAUUUUUUUAAUUACGAAGCUUUCUUAAUAUUCUUUAGAUGGAAAAUAGAUUAAUAAAAAAUUAAGAAAAGGUAUUUAAAAGGUAUCUCCAGCUUAGGUCGAUCCUUUAGAAAAACUUUUUUAAUGGUUUUUAAAAUAAAAUUAGUUGCUUAAUAUUUGAUAAGCGAAGAGAGCCCAUGCUUGGUUAGCACAGGGUAAUAGGGACAUGUAUAUGACAGGAAAUAUUUUGAAGGUGUGUACAGAAAACUAAGCUGCAAAGUGGUUGCUAAACAAUAAAACUGUAUGCUUAAUUUGGUAAAUAAACACAGGCUUAGGUUGAAAUUAUUAUAAAAAGAUUAGAUAUAUAUUUAAUUAGAUGUAUGCAGCUAAAGUUACCACAACUUAAAGCAACGGGUUUUUUUAAGUUAUUCAUAGGUUAAUAAAACACUACACAUACACUGAUCUACUGUUAUAAUUACUUUGAUGAGGCUGUAAUUUAACGAUAAUAAACUUUAGAAAAUUUAUUGGAAUUUUUUGGACAAACUUCAGAUAUAUCUAUAUCUCAUUCUUCUGUAUUGUUUGUUAUUUGGUAAUUGUGGAACAUUGUUUUAAAAAGCAAUAAAAUAUGAUUGAUGAACAAUAUUAUGACUAUAUAUAAUGGAACACAUACAUACAUAUUAGAUAGACUAGGUAUGUCAAAUAUUACAUUAAAAUCACACUCAUCUAGCUUAUCUCAUUCAUAAUUAAACAUUACAGAAGAAUACACAAGAUGUUUGCUACAAAGAGCAAAUAUUUAUAUUACAGAAUAUUUAACUUCUAAAGAAGCAGGAGGUUAGGUAAUAGGGAAUAAGGUUAUUGAAAAUUUAGUAUCUAUCGCUGUUAUGAGUGCUUACAGAUUAGGAGGAUUACAGAUUAGGUUAGAUAGUCGCUCAACAAAUAAAACUUAAUUUUUAAUAACCUGCUUUAAACUUCAAAGCUUAUAUUAUAAUUAAGUUCGCUUAAAUGUAAUAUAAGUGUCAUGCGGCAGAUAUCUACUGAGUUUCUUGCCGGUUCUUCUCAGUGGAUGUUAGGUUCCGAACCGGCGGUAGUGUUUAAAAAAUGGUGUGCAUCGGUUCGCGUAAAAUCUGAUAAUAAUAAAAAUCAGUUAAAAAUAUUUGGUACUAAUAAAAGUACAAUAUAAAUAAUAAUAUAAAAAUAAUACAAAAAAAAAACAAAUUUAUUUUAAAAAAACAAAUUAAAUUAAAUUUAAAUAAUAAUAAAAUCAGUUAAAAAUAUUUGGUACUAAUAAAAAUUGAAUCUUGUUCGAAAACAGUAAUAUAUAAAAUUAAAUAAUAAUAUAAAAAUAAUACAAAAAAAAAACAAAUUAAAUUUAAAAAACAGUAAAAAAAUCGUGCAAAAUAGAUUUAAAACAUUAUUAAUAUGAACAUGAAAUUUAAUAUCGAGACAUAUUUUAGAAAACUAAAAUACAUGCAAAAUACAUAAUUAUAUAAAUAACAAUUCCCAAAAUUUUUACGUUAUACGCAUAAAAAUUCAAAAUACAUAAUUUGUGAUGCUGGUUUUACUAUCCACAAAAAGUCAAUGAAGUUGGGUGCUGUAAAAGGUAAAGGAAGAGCCCUACGAUUCCAAAAAUAUAUCGUCUUGAGAAAGGAAUUUAAACAAACUAACGAAAGUGUUUUAUAUUGUUCCGAUUUCUGCAAUAUAAAGCAUAGUUAUGUUUUUUUUUAUAUAUAAACAGGAUAAUCAACCUCAAAUGCAUUUUAUUAAUUUUAUGGAAAAGUUAACAGAAGAUUACACCAAACAUUUACAAUUUACAAAAAGUACUAAUUCCACACCAAAUUUAGCUUUGGUCUAAAAAAUAUUUUGCUCUUAAAAAUGAAUAAAAUUGCAAGAUUUUAAAGUUACAGAAAUCUGCAAGUACAACCAAAAAUAUCAUUCAUAAAUAUUUCAAAGUAACUAUGUCUUAAUUUGUAUUAUCUGUUGAUAAAAUGUAUUUUUCCGUAUUCAAAAGUACGAUUAUAGAUUUUGACGCUGGAAAUUAUGGCAUUUGCAAUUGCCAUCGUGAAAACAGGAAGAAAUUGCUACUAGGAGACUGCGGGUAUUUAUCUUGAGCCUGUCUGUACACGGCCGCGACUUCCAGAAAAAAGUUUAUUAAACUGAAUUUAUACGACGCUGCAUUUUGAAGAACAUCCUACUCAUACUCAGUACUACAUGGUCUGAAAAUAGAAUACAUAAUUAACCACAUAUUGUCUUCUCGCAUUAAGUAACUGUAUAAUCAUCGCAUAACUGUAUAAUCUCAAAACUUACUAAUUUUACAGGAGAGUGUUUUAAAGGUUUUAGAUGUGAUUUAAUAUUAACCAUGUUUGCAACAUUUAUUUUUUAAUUUUUUAAUAGCUACAUUUUCUGUCUUUUAAAGUAAGAUAAAAAUAUGUAUAAAUUUUGUUCAUAGUAGUUAAAACAUAGAUAAUAAAAAUAAAAAAACUAAAACUAAACUACGCUCUUUUGACAGUAUUUAUGAGAUACCAAAUGGUACUGGUGAUACUGGUGAUAUCAAAUGAUUCCGCAUAUUAACUCAAUUUCGAAUAUUUUUGGAUAUUGUACACUUUUAAUGCGAAAACAUGAUAUGUAGUUUUGUACGAGAGAUUUGUGUACCAUUACAACAAGCCCAAUCACAAAGAAAUUGAAGAGUAUUUUUAUUAUUCACAAUACCCAUAGAAUUUGCCUCAACGAGCAAAAAAAGGUAUGUUGUAAAUGUUACAAAUAUGAAUUUAUGAACAGUAUUUUUUAGAGGUGGUUUUCAAUGGGAUUUCGUCAAUAUUAACUUAAUCAAGCCAAAAUAAUCAAGAAUAAAAUAAUAAAUAAAUAAAAGUAAAUUAAUUUAUUUCACACGAUUAACAUUCAAAAACUAAACGCGUAAUUUGUCUUUAAAAAAAAAAUACAAAGUAAAAAAAAAAAUAACAUGAAAAUCCAAAAUAAUUUUUCUAUCUGCACCGGAUUCCAAAAUUUUAUCUAUAAUUUUUUCGGCUUCAUUUAGCUGUCGACUAUCUAUAUAUAGAUUAUUUGGAAAAAUUGUUAAAUGUGUCUUGUGUUGUAAUUAAGUCCCUUGUUUGCUAAUUUCUUGAAAAAAAAUAUUUUUACAUCUAGUUGUGGUGGUCUAAUCUGCUGGGCUUGUUUGUCGGCUGGUCUCUGUAAAAGCUUUCAUUUAUUUCAAAUUGUUCAAGAAUAUGUAUAGAGAGUUCUGCACUAUUUUUUUUUAUUAAAACCUUCUUCGUUUGUUUAUCAUUAACAUUUUUCAGUUUGUAUUCAAUAUCAGCAGAUAAAAUUGUGAAACCUGCAUUAAUGUAUUUUGUUAUCCCGCAAGUGCAUUGUUAUGAAUUAAAAAGGUUUUAUUUGUAUGUUUUGGUGUAUAACAUAUGUGGUGUAUAAUAUACUACACAUACAUAGUUAUUGAAUAGUUUUGUGGCUAUGAGAUGUUAGCUUUCUCUCUACUUAGGUAUUUUGUUUUUAAAAUCGUUGCCAUCGUUGCCUCGUUAAAUCGCUACGAUCUUCAAAUUCUUAAAGUAAAAAUAAUGUAAAAAAUUAAAAAUAAUUCGUAAAUAAAUGUAAAAUAUAGUUAAAGCGAAAACGCACACCCAAUAAAAUAAAUAAAUAAACUUACCUUAAAACCUA